RNAcentral lists this transfer RNA (76 nucleotides) under Acanthisitta chloris (rifleman). It matches the Rfam family "tRNA". Rfam says of the family: Transfer RNA (tRNA) molecules are approximately 80 nucleotides in length. The record is from Rfam by way of RNAcentral. Lineage: Eukaryota; Metazoa; Chordata; Aves; Passeriformes; Acanthisittidae.
GGCCCAGUGGCCUAGUGGAGACAGCAUCAGCAUCUGGAGCUGAGUGUUGUAGUGGGUUUGAAUCCCAUGUGGGUCA